CGUAUUUCGAAAACCAUGAGUAAUUACUUGCUGCUGGACUCUCAUUUUCCCCAAAUGCAUAUGUUAUUCUACAAAUUAUGAUACUCGUUACUAGAUUGUGUGUAUGUGUUUAAUGUGCGUUUGCGAAUCGAUUUUGUUUAUCUUUCUUACAAUAAUCGACGCUGCUUAAAUCGAUCGGCCCUUUUUCGGCACAAGUUUCAUGAAUUUUGAAUGAGAUUUGUAGGUCAAAUUGUGUUUUGGCGAGGAGAUCCGUGAUGUUCCAUGAUCUACGGUCGGCGGCGAAUUUGAGGUGCUCAACUACUAAAAUUCAUCUUCAAAUGUUUAUACGAAUGUGCAAUUGAUUAGUGAAAUGAUUAAUUGCAAUGAAUUGAUUAGUUUGAAGUAGAUUUGACAUCUGAGUUGCGUAUGUCGAUGAACUCUCGAUUGCCUUAUGAGCUAGGUAAUGAGUUUUAAUUAGUGUUGAUGAAGGUAGAAUUUGACAGGUUGAAAUCAGAAUCCAAAGUAUAAUAUUUUUAUAAUACUAUGUAAUAUUGAUAUCUUAAUAAGCACAAGGAAGCAUGAAAUAUGGAGUAUUUCACAAAUCCAAAUCUGCAUAAAUAAACUGCAGAAAAUGAUGAUGUUUGAGAGUUCUAAUUCUUUUCUAGGAAGUUCAGUGAAUUAUAGAAUGCUAUUAUUCUUGGGGCCUAGUAUGCAAGGGAGGUUGUUUAUUCCUACUCCAUAAUAUAAUUCCAUCUGAUCCAGAUUGAAUAAGGCACAACACAUUGUAUGUUGUUGUGGAGCUUCAUUGUUCGAAUUUCAAAAUGCCUAUUUUGAGUUAUGUUACAUGAACCUUCUGAAGAGGUUCAUGCAAAUGAUCUGUUUGCAUAGAGAAACUCAAGAUAUUUUCUUCCCCACAGCUGAUAAUAUGGAACUGAGAUUUCUGCUGCAAAACACUCUUGCUUUACACAAGUAGAUUUAUAAAGAAUCCUAUCUUCCUUUACUAGAACAAGAUCCGUUGCUUCGUCUAGUGCAAACUAGAAACUUAAACAAUAGCGAUUUAUAGGAUGAAGUGUUUUUAGGUAUCGGCGUCUAAGGGAAUAGGUGAGUUCAGUUUCUAUAGGAAAAUCUAUAUAAAGAUGAAAUACUUUGCAUGCUGUGUUGAAAUUCAUCUUCAUGUGCAACCUUUUCUCUUAUUAACUAUGUAAAGAUGAUGGGAUGGAGCAGUUUCAAAUGAAUCAGAUACUACUUCCAUGAAUUUGAAAAAUAUGUAUUACCUUUACUUGCAAAUCAUUCUUUUUCUUUUAUGGAGUGAGAACUGGUUCAUUGAUACAGUGACUGGGGAUCAUAUCAAGUGAUCAAAUGCAUAUCAGAGCAACACGUAGAGUAAUCUUUCAACUUUUUUUAUAGCCUAAUUUACCUUUAUCAGACUGACAAAUAAGUUUGUUUAGUGUAGUUAAAUGGUGAGUGACUGGACUUCAACUAUCUUUAUCACAGGGUUGGAGUUUCGUAGCCAAUCUGCUCUCUGUAAAAUAAUGUUUUUUAUCCUCUGCUUAUUCGCUAUCAUAGUUGGAAGAUAUGGAAUUAAAUCUUCUAUCUGAAACUCUCUCUCUUCAGGGCUCGUGUGCUUUGCCACCUGAUUUAUACCAUGUCACUUCAAGGAUAAGUUGGGAGUUUUGUUAAUAUAAUUGCUGACAAUUGACCAGAACCAGAAGUUGUCCACAUGGCAAGAGGUGCUUUGUUGAAAUACUCCAUUAUUUAAAAAACCAAUCUAUCUAACCAAGGCAUAAUUAUUAUCUUAAUUUCUGUAUUUAUUAGAGUUUCUAAUUGCCAAGACUCCACUUAACGGAUUUUGAGAAUGGAUAACCUUAGUUUUUCUA
This is a long non-coding RNA of Salvia splendens (bonfire salvia), 1856 nucleotides long. RefSeq lists it as uncharacterized. The record is from RefSeq and is a predicted model, not a curated record. Lineage: Eukaryota; Viridiplantae; Streptophyta; Magnoliopsida; Lamiales; Lamiaceae. The transcript has 2 exons.